AGAACCUUACCAAGUCUUGACAUCCCUCUGACCGUUCCUUAACCGGAACUUUCCUUCGGGACAGAGGAGACAGGUGGUGCAUGGUUGUCGUCAGCUCGUGUCGUGAGAUGUUGGGUUAAGUCCCGCAACGAGCGCAACCCCUGUCCUUAGUAGCCAGCAGUAAGAUGGGCACUCUAGGGAGACAGCCGGGGAUAACCCGGAGGAAGGCGGGGACGACGUCAAAUCAUCAUGCCCCUUAUGAUUUGGGCUACACACGUGCUACAAUGGCGUAAACAAAGGGAAGCGAGCCUGCGAGGGGGAGCGAAUCCCAAAAAUAACGUCCCAGUUCGGACUGCAGUCUGCAACUCGACUGCACGAAGCUGGAAUCGCUAGUAAUCGCAGAUCAGAAUGCUGCGGUGAAUACGUUCCCGGGUCUUGUACACACCG
This 426-nucleotide ribosomal RNA is filed under the name uncultured bacterium. Its description in RNAcentral is "bacterial SSU rRNA". It matches the Rfam family "Bacterial small subunit ribosomal RNA", at positions 965 to 1392 of the family's 1533-position model. The record is from RNAcentral.